RNAcentral lists this ribosomal RNA (492 nucleotides) under uncultured bacterium. RNAcentral describes it as "partial 16S ribosomal RNA". It matches the Rfam family "Bacterial small subunit ribosomal RNA", at positions 29 to 507 of the family's 1533-position model. The record is from RNAcentral.
AGUGAACGCUGGCGGUAGGCCUAACACAUGCAAGUCGAACGGAAACACAAUAAGCGUUCGCCCUUAAGGGUGGCGAGUGGCGGACGGGUAACGAAUACAUAAGAAUCCAAUUUUUCGGGGGGGACAACGUAGGGAAGCUUCUGAUAAUACAGAAUACGACCUACGGGAGAAAGCAGGGGAUCUUGGCACCUUGCGCGACUCAAUGAGCUGAUGUCGGAUUAGCUAGUUGGCAAGGUAAAGGCACACCAAGGCGACGAUACGUAGCUGAUCUGAGAGGAUGAUCAGCCACACUGGAACUGAGACACGGUCCAGACUCCUACGGGAGGCAGCAGUAGGGAAUAUUGCACAAUGGGCGCAAGCCUGAUCGAGCCAUACCGCGUGAGUGAUGAAGGUCUUCGGGUCGUAAAGCUCUGUUAUUGGGAAAGAAAAGCAGUAUGUUUAAAUCCGGCUGUUCUGACGGUACCUAAUGAGAAAGCACCGGCUAACUACGUG